GGGUGCGAUCAUACCAGCAAUAAUGCACCGGAUCCCAUCAGAACUCCGAAGUUAAGCUUGCUUGGGCGAGAGCAGUAUUAGGAUGGGUGACCUCCUGAGAAGUCCUCGUGUUGCACCCCUC
Molecule: ribosomal RNA, 121 nt
Filed under: Rosa chinensis
Lineage: Eukaryota; Viridiplantae; Streptophyta; Magnoliopsida; Rosales; Rosaceae
Source: RNAcentral